UUUGCUAGCUAGCUCUCUGCAACUCUCACAUGGUCGCCCACUAAAGCUAAGCAGGGCUACGCCUGGUCAGUGGCUGGAUGGGAGACCACAUGGGAAAGCCAGGUUGCUGCCGGGA
This 115-nucleotide ribosomal RNA is filed under the name Danio rerio (zebrafish). Lineage: Eukaryota; Metazoa; Chordata; Actinopteri; Cypriniformes; Danionidae. The record is from RNAcentral.